UUUUUGCUUUUCUUGAACCCCACAACCUUCUGAUGAUGAUUUUUUUUGCUUUUCUUGGACCCCAAAACUUCUUUGAUUUUCAUUCACACGAAUGAUCCCCGAUCACCGCAUUUGAACCCCGAUAACUUCAUGUCACUCCUACCGCCAAAUAAUGAACCCCGUUCUCCUUUUGAACCCCAGUCGCCUGACGAUAACUCGCAAUCGUCGUUGUGAACCCCAUUCUCCAGAAAACACCCCGUGUCCCCUUUUCUCCAUUUGAACCCCGUUCUC
Molecule: long non-coding RNA, 270 nt
Filed under: Lathyrus oleraceus (garden pea)
Lineage: Eukaryota; Viridiplantae; Streptophyta; Magnoliopsida; Fabales; Fabaceae
Description: Pisum sativum (pea) long non-coding RNA (PSAT_LNC034688)
Source: RNAcentral